Molecule: microRNA precursor, 145 nt
Filed under: Choloepus hoffmanni (Hoffmann's two-fingered sloth)
Lineage: Eukaryota; Metazoa; Chordata; Mammalia; Pilosa; Megalonychidae
Description: miRNA (ENSCHOG00000014313.1)
Source: RNAcentral
AUUACAGGAUGCCCACUUAAAUUUUAGUUUCAGAGAAACAAUAGUUUUAGCAUAAGUAUAUCUCAUGCAAUAUUUGGGACAUACUUAUACCAAAUAUUACUGUUGUUUAUUUGAAGUUCAAAUUUAACUGGACAUCCUAUAUUUU